CACCUGCCCUUGCACGCUGGGAUAAGCCUGGGAAACUGGGUCUAAUACUGGAUAUGACUGAUCAUCGCAUGGUGGUUGGUGGAAAGAUUUUAUCGGUUGUGGAUGGACUCGCGGCCUAUCAGCUAGACGGUGGGGUAAUGGCUCACUGUGGCUUAUGACGGGUAGCCGGCCUGAGAGGGUGACCGGCCAACAGCUGGGACUGAGACACGGCCCAGACUCCUACGGGAGGCAGACAUGUGGGGAAUAUUGCACAAUGGGCACAAGCCUGAUGCAGCGACGCCGUCGUGCGGGAUGACGGCCUUCGGGUUGUAAACCGCUUUCAGAUAGGGAACAGGCCUUUCGGGGUUGAGGGUACCUGCAGAAGAAGCGCCGGCUAACUACGUGCCAGCACGCCGCGGUAAUACGUAGGGCGCGAGCGUUAUCCGGAAUUAUUGGGCGUAAAGAGCUCGUACGCGGUUUGUUGCGUCUGACUGUGAAAGCCCGGGGCUUAACUCCGGGUGUGCAGUGGGUACGGGCAGGCUGGAGUGCAGUAAGGGAGACUGGAAUUCCUGGUGUAGCGGUGAAAUGCUCAAAUAUCAGGAGGAACACCGAUGGCAAAGGCAGGUCUCUGGGCUGUUACUGACCCUGAGGAGCGAAAGCAUGGGGAGCGAACAGGAUUAAAUACCCUGGUAGUCCAUGCCGUAAACGAUGGGGCACUAGGUGUGGGGACAUUCCACGUUUUUCCGCGCCGUACGCUACACGCAUUAAGUGCCCCGCCCUGGGGAGUACGGCCGCAAGGCUAAAACUCAAAGGAAUUGACGGGGGCCCGCACAAGCGGCGGAGCAUGCGGAUUAAUUCGAUGCCACGCGAAGAACCUUACCAAGGCUUGACAUACACUGGAUCGCCUCAGAGAUGGGGUUUCCCUUCGGGGCUGGAUGUACAGGUGGUGCAUGGUUGUCGUCAGCUCGUGUCGUGAGAUGUUGGGUUAAGUCCCGCAACGAGCGCAACCCUUAUCCUAUGUUGCCAGCACGUGAUGGUGGGGACUCAUGGGAGACUGCCGGGGUCAACUCGGAGGAAGGUGGGGAUGACGUCAAAUCAUCAUGCCCUUAUGUCUGGGCUCACGCAUGCUACAAUGGCCGGUACAGUGGGUUGCGAUACUGUGAGGUGGAGCUAAUCCCUAAAAGCCGGUCUCAGUUCGGAUCGAAGUCUGCAACUCGACUUCGUGAAGUUGGAGUCGUCUAGUAAUCGCAGAUCAGCAACGCUGCUGUGAGAUACGUUCCCGGGCCUUGUACACACCGCCCGUCAAGCUCACAGAAAGGUGGUGUACACCCGAAG
RNAcentral lists this ribosomal RNA (1314 nucleotides) under bacterium K28. Its description in RNAcentral is "bacterial SSU rRNA". It matches the Rfam family "Bacterial small subunit ribosomal RNA", at positions 123 to 1426 of the family's 1533-position model. The record is from RNAcentral.